RNAcentral lists this transfer RNA (77 nucleotides) under Variovorax beijingensis. It matches the Rfam family "tRNA". From Rfam's summary of the family: Transfer RNA (tRNA) molecules are approximately 80 nucleotides in length. Their secondary structure includes four short double-helical elements and three loops (D, anti-codon, and T loops). Lineage: Bacteria; Pseudomonadati; Pseudomonadota; Betaproteobacteria; Burkholderiales; Comamonadaceae. RNAcentral also lists the same sequence under 1 other name. The record is from RNAcentral.
GUCGUAUUCGUCUAGUGGCUCAGGACACAAGGUUUUCAUCCUUGUAGACGCGGGUUCGAAUCCCGUAUACGACUCCA